This 347-nucleotide ribosomal RNA is filed under the name uncultured bacterium. Its description in RNAcentral is "bacterial SSU rRNA". It matches the Rfam family "Bacterial small subunit ribosomal RNA", at positions 30 to 378 of the family's 1533-position model. The record is from RNAcentral.
AUUGAACGCUGGCGGCAUGCCUUACACAUGCAAGUCGAACGGCAGCGGACCUUCGGGUGCCGGCGAGUGGCGAACGGGUAAGUAAUAUAUCGGAACGUACCUUUCAGUAAGGGAUAACGUAGCGAAAGUUACGCUAAUACCGCAUAUUCUGUGAGCAGGAAAGCAAAGGAUCGCAAGACCUUGCGCUGAUUGAGCGGCCGAUAUCAGAUUAGCUAGUUGGUGAGGUAAAAACUCACCAAGGCGACGAUCUGUAGCGGGUCUGAGAGGAUGAUCCGCCACACUGGAACUGAGACACGGUCCAGACUCUACGGGAGGCAGCAGUGGGGAAUUUUUGGGACAAUGGGCGC